UCUUCUCUCACCAUCCAUAAUGGCUAGAUGCCCAGUCCCUCUUCUUCUCCUACUGCUGCUGCCACUACUUCUCUUCCCCAUAUGAUAUCCACUUCAGCUGAUGUGUUCCUUAGCAUAGACUGUGGAUCAUCGGACGCCUACUCCGAUGAGCUCGACAUCGAUCACAUGGGUGGGAGACGAGAACUACAUCCAGAACGGCCAAAGCCUGACCUUAAAAGACCCUGGCUCGGUUCGAUUCCAGGAGGAAGAACUGCUAUCCUAUAGGUCUUAGUGGUGGAGGCCGAAUCCUCGUUCGAGCUAGCUUUUACUACGGCAAUUGCGACGGGAAGUCGUCGCGCGCCGCCGAGCUUUGGGCUCCAGUAUAAUUGAUGCGAACAGUUGGACGACGAUGGAGAGCGGUGCGGUACGAGGCCGUCUACGUGGUGAACGGGGACGCAACGAGCGUGUGCAUGGCCCAGACCCAGCCCAACCGGCUGCCCUUCAUCUCCCCGAUCGAGGCGAGGAGCUUGGACUCCGGCAUGCAUGCCAAGGUGGACCCCAUCUAUGCCUUGCUCUUGAGAAGAAGGGUGGCCUCCGGUGCUAGUGAUACUAUGAUGCUAUCCAGAUGAUUUAUAUGGCCGUAUAUAUGAGAUCCAAGCGUUGUACCCAACGGGCGCGGAGCACUCAUUAGCGACCCCAGUAUCUACAUCAAUGCAUGUGAUAGUUCUCCGGCGACCGUGCUAGAGACUGCAGUGGCACCAACGGAUGUAUCAAGCUCUGUUCCGCUUUCACCGAGGUGUCUUCGCUCAGCUCCACUCGGAAACGAUCAUUUGAGAUCUAUGUGGAUGGCGAGCACUCCGAUCCCAUAGUACCACCUUAUCAGGAUAUAUCAGAAUAUUUCAUCAAUGGGACGGCGAAAUCCAGCACGGCGUUUACAUUGGUGGCUACAACAGUCUCGACUCUUCCGCCUAUUAUCAGUGCAAUGGAGAUUUUGUCGUUAAGUGAUGUGCUAAGCAAUGGGACAAACUCCAAUGACGGUAGAUCUUCGUCCCAAUUUUGAUUUCACCCUCCAUGAGAAUGGUUGAAAUGGAGACGCUUGCUCUGCUGCAACAAUAAUUUGAAGUACUCCAGUAGGAUUAGAGCAGUGAUCCGUCCCUCCCAGCCUCUUACAACUGGGAUUAGCUGAACUGUAGCUCUGAUGAAACACCUCGAAUCACUGCCUUAUAUCUUUCUGGCUUUGGGCUCUCUAGUAUUCUCCCAGACUUCAGCGCAUUGGAUGCUCUAGAAAUUAUAGACUUGAACAACAACAGCUUCGGUGGAGAUAUUCCAGAAUUCUUAGGCAACUUUCCCAACCUACAGGAGCUGCCAAAUGAAUGGGCUCGGUAAGCCUACUGAAUCGACUCAGGUGGCACCCAUGAGUGGGACGAAUCCUCACCUCAUAAAUAAUGAACAUAGGGUGGAGAUUGCGGAGCAAAUGGGGUCAGAGCUCGCAGUUCUGAUGGAGCAGCAGGCACAAGCAAAUCAAGAUGGAAGUAACCCCAGGGUGCAGCAGAAAUUGUUGAACAAGUUGGCCGGGCAAUGAUUGAGGCAGUUAAAAGGCAGCAUUCUUAGUGAAGUAUAACAACGAACUUUUGAUGUCGUGUCAUCACCAGUGGUGGCCCGCGGCCCUCCCCGCCCGUCCACGACAGCAGCAUGCGGAAGAAGAAACAACGAGGAUUGGUAGAAGAAUGGAGCCAUGGUGCAUGCUGGAUUGCAAUCCUGGAUAGUGGUAUAUAUAUAGUUUUCUCUCGCGUGACAUGGAUCCUGCUCUUGGAUGAAUGCACAUCAGGCAUCAUAUGUUGUUCUGCUUUGUGCUAUAAUCCAAAUAUUCUUCUUCUUCUUCUUCUUUUAAUGCCGCCCAUCAGUCUAUGCUGUUAUGUCCAACAAGCUAGUGAAUUCAAAACAAUGGAAGCUGGUCGGUGAGUUAGUGGACUCUGGUGGCCAUUCAGGCAGAUCAACUCUAUGUAAGUGCUUAGAAGAUUGCAAUCUAAAACUGCCAUUACUAUAGGAAGCAAGUUGAUUCUUCGGCAGGGUUUUGGUCAGUGUCCAUAGAUUGGUCAGUGCCCAU
This is a non-coding RNA of Elaeis guineensis (African oil palm), 2086 nucleotides long. Lineage: Eukaryota; Viridiplantae; Streptophyta; Magnoliopsida; Arecales; Arecaceae. The record is from RefSeq and is a predicted model, not a curated record.